UACGAAGGGGGCUAGCGUUGCUCGGAAUCACUGGGCGUAAAGCGCACGUAGGCGGACUCUUAAGUCGGGGGUGAAAUCCUGGAGCUCAACUCCAGAACUGCCUUCGAUACUGGGAGUCUUGAGUUCGGGAGAGGUGAGUGGAACUGCGAGUGUAGAGGUGAAAUUCGUAGAUAUUCGCAAGAACACCAGUGGCGAAGGCGGCUCACUGGCCCGAUAC
RNAcentral lists this ribosomal RNA (217 nucleotides) under uncultured bacterium. RNAcentral's name for it is "partial 16S ribosomal RNA". It matches the Rfam family "Bacterial small subunit ribosomal RNA", at positions 524 to 740 of the family's 1533-position model. The record is from RNAcentral.